CACGUUCAGAAGCGGUUCAGCUUCAACUGACGCAAUCACAUUCAUAAUCACAUUCAUUUCAUACAAAUAGCCAAUAAUGAAGACAGAAAGAGAAGUUGGCGAUCGAACAAGAAAACGAAGAGACCAGGAAGUAGUACCAUUCUUCAUGGUGGUAUGGGGGAUAAGAUGCAUAUGUGAAUUAUUCUAUACGAGCACAAGAACGAAUAUAUGCUGCUAUAUACUUGAUUGGUAAUGUAUGGAGAACCCCUUAGAUGAGGAUGGCUGAAGCAUUAGCAGAUUCAAGGUAAAAAAAGGGGAAGAGAUGGAUCAGAGAACAAACACAAGACUUGAGCUAUGAAGAGGCAAUGAAUCUCUUAAUUUGGUUGAAUGGUAUUGUACUUACUGUUAG
Molecule: long non-coding RNA, 388 nt
Organism: Rosa rugosa (rugosa rose)
Lineage: Eukaryota; Viridiplantae; Streptophyta; Magnoliopsida; Rosales; Rosaceae
Exons: 3
Source: RefSeq, a predicted model, not a curated record